UCUGAACCUUCGGGGAACGAUAACGGCGUCGAGCGGCGGACGGGUGAGUAAUGCCUAGGAAAUUGCCCUGAUGUGGGGGAUAACCAUUGGAAACGAUGGCUAAUACCGCAUGAUGCCUACGGGCCAAAGAGGGGGACCUUCGGGCCUCUCGCGUCAGGAUAUGCCUAGGUGGGAUUAGCUAGUUGGUGAGGUAAGGGCUCACCAAGGCGACGAUCCCUAGCUGGUCUGAGAGGAUGAUCAGCCACACUGGAACUGAGACACGGUCCAGAYUCCUACGGGAGGCAGCAGUGGGGAAUAUUGCACAAUGGGCGCAAGCCUGAUGCAGCCAUGCCGCGUGUGUGAAGAAGGCCUUCGGGUUGUAAAGCACUUUCAGUCGUGAGGAAGGUGGUGUAGUUAAUAGCUGCAUUAUUUGACGUUAGCGACAGAAGAAGCACCGGCUAACUCCGUGCCAGCAGCCGCGGUAAUACGGAGGGUGCGAGCGUUAAUCGGAAUUACUGGGCGUAAAGCGCAUGCAGGUGGUUUGUUAAGUCAGAUGUGAAAGCCCGGGGCUCAACCUCGGAAUAGCAUUUGAAACUGGCAGACUAGAGUACUGUAGAGGGGGGUAGAAUUUCAGGUGUAGCGGUGAAAUGCGUAGAGAUCUGAAGGAAUACCGGUGGCGAAGGCGGCCCCCUGGACAGAUACUGACACUCAGAUGCGAAAGCGUGGGGAGCAAACAGGAUUAGAUACCCUGGUAGUCCACGCCGUAAACGAUGUCUACUUGGAGGUUGUGGCCUUGAGCCGUGGCUUUCGGAGCUAACGCGUUAAGUAGACCGCCUGGGGAGUACGGUCGCAAGAUUAAAACUCAAAUGAAUUGACGGGGGCCCGCACAAGCGGUGGAGCAUGUGGUUUAAUUCGAUGCAACGCGAAGAACCUUACCUACUCUUGACAUCCAGAGAACUUUCCAGAGAUGGAUUGGUGCCUUCGGGAACUCUGAGACAGGUGCUGCAUGGCUGUCGUCAGCUCGUGUUGUGAAAUGUUGGGUUAAGUCCCGCAACGAGCGCAACCCUUAUCCUUGUUUGCCAGCGAGUAAUGUCGGGAACUCCAGGGAGACUGCCGGUGAUAAACCGGAGGAAGGUGGGGACGACGUCAAGUCAUCAUGGCCCUUACGAGUAGGGCUACACACGUGCUACAAUGGCGCAUACAGAGGGCGGCCAACUUGCGAAAGUGAGCGAAUCCCAAAAAGUGCGUCGUAGUCCGGAUUGGAGUCUGCAACUCGACUCCAUGAAGUCGGAAUCGCUAGUAAUCGUGGAUCAGAAUGCCACGGUGAAUACGUUCCCGGGCCUUGUACACACCGCCCGUCACACCAUGGGAGUGGGCUGCAAAAGAAGUAGGUAGUUUAACCUUCGGGGGGACGC
This 1394-nucleotide ribosomal RNA is filed under the name Vibrio alginolyticus. RNAcentral describes it as "bacterial SSU rRNA". It matches the Rfam family "Bacterial small subunit ribosomal RNA". The record is from RNAcentral. Lineage: Bacteria; Pseudomonadati; Pseudomonadota; Gammaproteobacteria; Vibrionales; Vibrionaceae.